UGAGGAAUAUUGGGCAAUGCCCGAAAGGGUGACCCAGCAACGCCGCGUGGAGGAUGAAGGUCGUAAGAUUGUAAACUCCUGUUAGAGGGGAAGAAUAACUAAGUUUGGAGCUUAGUAUGACUGUACCCUCAGAGAAAGCCCCGGCUAACUACGUGCCAGCAGCCGCGGUAAUACGUAGGGGGCAAGCGUUGUCCGGAUUUACUGGGUGUAAAGGGCGCGCAGGCGGAAUGGAAAGUCAGUAGUGAAAUCCUACAGCUUAACUGUAGAACUGCCGUGGNUACUUUCAUUCUUGAGUUCGGGAGAGAGAGACGGAAUUCCAGGUGUAGUGGUGAAAUACGUAGAUAUCUGGAAGAACACCAGUUGCGAAGGCGGUCUCUUGGUCCGAUACUGACGCUGAGGCGCGAAAGCGUGGGGAGCAAACA
This 422-nucleotide ribosomal RNA is filed under the name uncultured bacterium. RNAcentral's name for it is "bacterial SSU rRNA". It matches the Rfam family "Bacterial small subunit ribosomal RNA", at positions 355 to 774 of the family's 1533-position model. The record is from RNAcentral.